AGGGAAUCUUGCGCAAUGGGCGAAAGCCUGACGCAGCCAUGCCGCGUGAAUGAUGAAGGUCUUAGGAUUGUAAAAUUCUUUCACCGGGGACGAUAAUGACGGUACCCGGAGAAGAAGCCCCGGCUAACUUCGUGCCAGCAGCCGCGGUAAUACGAAGGGGGCUAGCGUUGCUCGGAAUUACUGGGCGUAAAGGGCGCGUAGGCGGAUAGUUUAGUCAGAGGUGAAAGCCCAGGGCUCAACCUUGGAAUUGCCUUUGAUACUGGCUAUCUUGAGUAUGGAAGAGGUAUGUGGAACUCCGAGUGUAGAGGUGAAAUUCGUAGAUAUUCGGAAGAACACCAGUGGCGAAGGCGACAUACUGGUCCAUUACUGACGCUGAGGCGCGAAAGCGUGGGGAGCAAAC
RNAcentral lists this ribosomal RNA (400 nucleotides) under uncultured bacterium. Its description in RNAcentral is "bacterial SSU rRNA". It matches the Rfam family "Bacterial small subunit ribosomal RNA", at positions 356 to 773 of the family's 1533-position model. The record is from RNAcentral.